RNAcentral lists this ribosomal RNA (274 nucleotides) under uncultured bacterium. Its description in RNAcentral is "partial 16S ribosomal RNA". It matches the Rfam family "Bacterial small subunit ribosomal RNA", at positions 523 to 796 of the family's 1533-position model. The record is from RNAcentral.
AUACGUAGGAUCCAAGCGUUGUCCGGAUUUACUGGGCGUAAAGGGUGUGUAGGCGGUAUGGUAAGUCUCAUGUGAAAUCUCCCGGCUCAACUGGGAGGGGUCAUGAGAUACUGUCAAACUCGAGGGCAGCAGAGGAGAGCGGAAUUCCGGGAGUAGUGGUGAAAUGCGUAGAUACCCGGAGGAACACCCGUGGCGAAAGCGGCUCUCUGGGCUGUACCUGACGCUGAUACACGAAAGCGUGGGGAGCAAACCGGAUUAGAUACCCCAGUAGUCC